UGGCUGCCUCCCGUGGGUCGCUUCGCCUCGCCGCUGCCCAUCUGUAUUCGCUGAGGUGGUGCAGUGUCAGUGGAGGAAGCGUCUCGCGCACAUCUGAAGUGUGGCGCUGAGCCGUGCCGAACACGCGAGUCUAUUGCGAGUGUGUAACACAGGUAAACACAUGAUGCUCGGAACAGAGACUCGCGCAGGUGUUUAAGUGAGAGCGCAGGAACUGAACUGAAGUGAGUGUCAAGGAGAAUGAUGCUGUGAUGUUGUUGACCCCAUGUUGCUGAGAUCACUUCCUGGACACCUCAGCACUGCUUUCCCCCGCUCAGCAGUCUUUUGAAGUGAUGUGCUGAGUACUGAGGCGUUCCAAGGAGUGUGAAGUGCCAAGGUGCAUCAUACAGGCGUGACAGCACCUGGACAUACCUGGAUUGAUUGGACUUGCUUACCUGGUGAAAAGUGCCCGGAGGAGAGUGAGAGGACACCACGCACGUCACCACAGUCAUCACCACUACCAUCUUCCCCUCUUCUUCCUUCUUCUCCUCCUCCUUCAGACUCUUCUCCUCUCCUUCAAGUCCUUAUCCUCUUCUCUUGUUUAUUUUGUUUCUGUUGUUCUGCUGAGUUAUCCUUUAGCUUCAUCUGUGUGUGUUCUGUUUUAUCAUCUAGUUUUUCUCUUUCUCUUUUUAUCCUGAGUCUGUUUCAUUGUUCUCAGAUAAUCUUUUAGUGUUUGUUUAUUCUAUCUCUCUUAUCACCUGGUUUAUCUUUCCCUCUUUCUCUUUACAUGUUAUUGAAUUAUCCUGCCCUCCUUCCUUCCCUCUGCCAAAGCUUUCUCCCCUUGUAGUGAGUGACCUGACUUGUGUUCCUAAGUAGGUGGCAGUCCCUCCAUUACCCUCCCCCUCCCAUAGCCCCUCCAAAGCUUCCAUCCCUCACUCACACUCCCUUUCCUCCCUUACCUCACACCGCACACUCCCUCACGCACCUUCCUCCGCCUUCACCACCAAGGACAUUACAGUCUCGAGAACCCAACCUCUCCAGCACAUCCUUAACCCUAAUUCACCAUAUCUCUUUCACACACCACUAUACACCACUACUACUAUUCCCACGCACUGACACCCGGCCUACUCACCUUUCAUUCACUCUACUCCAUCAAGACUGUUUCUACUCCGUCACUCUAUCAGUCCACUCCACGCCACUUUCUCUCUCUCCGGUGUUGUGGUGACGUGCGCAGAAUCAAGACGCUGCAAACAUGAAUGCGCAGGAAACACAUCAUACCCGCGACACAGCUGUGCCGGGCCAGCAGACAGCCAAGCGACAGGAGCCACGUCGACUUAGGAGUGGUGAUGAUGGUGUAAACACGCUAAGGUGACGGGUACUUACAGGUGAGCAUCCUUACCUCCUCGUGGAAGAGUGGAGGGGAUGGCGCCACGUGUUCCCGCAGCUAUUGCAGGGUCUCCUCUUCACAUCAGAGACGCAUCAGGGAGCCGAGGGACUCGGAUCUGUCAGGGCCAAGGGAGCAGUAUUGACGUGGCAGCCAUUGUGAAAGGUUUCUGGGAAAGCAAACCAGCGGAGAUUGCCUUGGAGUAGAUAUUAGCAAGUCGUGAAAGUGAGUAGCAGUGAUGGAGCUUGAUCGACGUUUGAGGCAGGCUUUUGGAUGUGCAGCAGCACACGCCUGCUGAGACACCUGUGACAAGUGCAAGACAUAGAGUGUGGUGAGGAUGGAGGAUGCUGUAAACGUUCCCAGCAUCAUCAAUUCAAAAUUUUUCUGCUGUGAAGGUGUAAGUGGCUUUUGGAUGUCCAGCAGGAUACGUGCCUGUAGCAAGUGCAAGACAGUGUGGUGAAGAUGGGAGACGCAGUAAACAUUCCGAGCACUAUUGGUUUAAAAUUUCUCUUUGUGAAGUGCACAUUGUUUCAAUCAUGGGAUUGUAUGUCAUCAUAUUCAUAGAUUUCAUGACCUGACAAUGUGUUCACCUCUGUCAACAUUAACAAAUGCAAAGUACUUAGCAUAGGUAGAGAAAAUCCACACAAUAGAUACACAAUAAACAAAUCCCUGAUAGGCUCAAAGUAUGAGAAAGAUUUAGAAAUUA
RNAcentral lists this unclassified non-coding RNA (2066 nucleotides) under Portunus trituberculatus (swimming crab). Its description in RNAcentral is "cell surface glycoprotein 1-like, transcript variant X12". The record is from RNAcentral. Lineage: Eukaryota; Metazoa; Arthropoda; Malacostraca; Decapoda; Portunidae.